This 1334-nucleotide long non-coding RNA is filed under the name Coturnix japonica (Japanese quail). RNAcentral's name for it is "lncRNA (ENSCJPG00005002678.1)". The record is from RNAcentral. Lineage: Eukaryota; Metazoa; Chordata; Aves; Galliformes; Phasianidae.
AUUAAAGCCAAUGGGACCCCAUUGAUCCCAAUAUGAUCCUAUUAAAGCCAAUGGGACCCCAUUGAUCCCAAUGUGAUCCUAUUAAAGCCAAUGGGACCCCAUUGACCCCAGUAGCCCCCGAUUGACCCCAUUGCCCCUAUUGACCAGAUGCCAUAAUUGGACCAUUGCCCCCAUUGAAUCCCCAUUGCCCCCAUUGCCCCCAUUGCCCCUAGUUGGACCCCAUAGCCCCUAUUGCCCCCAUCGCUGCCACCCGAUGCCCCCGUAUAUGACCCCAUUGACCCCAGUUAACCCCAUUGCCCCACUUGACCCCCAGUUGCCCCUAUUGACCCAUUAACCCCAAUUGCCCAUUGCCCCUAUUGACCCCACUGCCCCCAGUGCGCCGCGCGAAGCGCCCGUGCCCCCAUUGACCCAUUGCCCCCACUGCUUCCAUUGACCCAUGCCCCAUUGACCCCAUUGACCCUAUUGACCCUAUACGCCCAUUGCCCCCAUUCGACCCCACUGCCCCCAUUGACCCCAUUGCCCCUAUUGACCCCAGUUGCCCCAUGCCCCUAUUGACGCCCGAUUGACCCAUUAGCCCCUUAUUAACCCCAAUAGCCCCGUUGGACCCAUUGCCCCCAUAUGUCCCCCAUUGCGCCCCAUUGACCCCCAGCUGACCCAUUUGCCCGCCAUUGCAACCAUAGCCCCCAUAUGCCCUAUUGACCCCAUUGCCCCCAUUUGCCCCCAUUGCCCCCAGGUGACGCCAUUGCCCCCCAUUGCCCCGAUUGCCCCAUUGCGCUAUUGACCCAUGACCCCAAUUGCCCCCGACUGACCCCAUAGCCGCCCAUUUGCUCCCCAUUGCCCCAUUGACGCCAUAGCCCCAUUGGACCCCAUUGGCCCCAUUGCCCCCAUUUGCCCCCAUUAGACCCCAUAGGCCCCCAUUGACCCAUUUCCCCCUAUGCCCCUAUUGACCAUUGCCCUUAUUGACACCAAUUGACCCCAUACCCCAUUGACCCCAUGACCCUAUUGACCCCAUUGAACCCCACUGACCCCAUUGCCCCCAUUGACCAGCCACUGGCCCAUUGCCCCCAUGAUCCCCACAUUGCCCCCAUUGACCCCAUAGCCCCCCAUUGACCCCAUUGACCCCAUUGACCCCAUUGACCCCAUUGCCCCCAUAGCCCCCAUUGACCCCAUUUACCCCACUGACCUUUUGGGGUCCGAUCCCUGGGCACAGUGCCAGCUCCUCCCGUGGGGCAGCAGCCACCGCAGCCAGCGACUGUGGGGCAGAUACACAUAGAGACCCAUAGAGACCCAUAGAGACCCACAGAAACCCCAUAGAGACCCACAGAGACCCAUAG